Coregonus clupeaformis (lake whitefish) is the source of this 269-nucleotide long non-coding RNA. RefSeq lists it as uncharacterized. The record is from RefSeq and is a predicted model, not a curated record. NCBI's taxonomy places the organism in Eukaryota, Metazoa, Chordata, Actinopteri, Salmoniformes, Salmonidae. The transcript has 3 exons.
AUGAGAACUUGUUCUCAACUGGCUUACCUGGUUAAAUAAAGAUGGUGAGGCUGCUUCUCUCCAGAGGAGCCAACAUUAAUGCCUUUGACAAGAAGGAUCGCCGAGCAAUCCACUGGGCUGCUUACAUGGGGCACAUUGAGGUGGUGAAACUGCUGGCCUCUCAUGGAUCAGAGGUGUCCUGUAAAGACAAGAAGGCCUACACCCCUCUCCACUCUGCAGCCUCCAGUGUUAUGAUCAGUGUGGUCAAGUACCUCCUGGACCUUGGUGUG